AACGAACGCUGGCGGCAUGCCUAACACAUGCAAGUCGAACGAAGCCUUCGGGCUUAGUGGCGCACGGGUGCGUAACGCGUGGGAAUCUGCCCUUGGGUUCGGAAUAACAGUUAGAAAUGACUGCUAAUACCGGAUGAUGUCUUCGGACCAAAGAUUUAUCGCCCAAGGAUGAGCCCGCGUAGGAUUAGGUAGUUGGUGGGGUAAUGGCCCACCAAGCCGACGAUCCUUAGCUGGUCUGAGAGGAUGAUCGGCCACACUGGGACUGAGACACGGCCCAGACUCCUACGGGAGGCAGCAGUGGGGAAUAUUGGACAAUGGGCGAAAGCUUGAUCCAGCAAUGCCGCGUGAGUGAUGAAGGCCUUAGGGUUGUAAAGCUCUUUUACCAGGGAUGAUAGUGACAGUACCUGGAGAAUAAGCUCCGGCUAACUCCGUGCCAGCAGCCGCGGUAA
Molecule: ribosomal RNA, 449 nt
Filed under: uncultured bacterium
Lineage: Bacteria
Description: partial 16S ribosomal RNA
Rfam family: Bacterial small subunit ribosomal RNA
Source: RNAcentral